Molecule: ribosomal RNA, 1806 nt
Filed under: Triticum aestivum (bread wheat)
Lineage: Eukaryota; Viridiplantae; Streptophyta; Magnoliopsida; Poales; Poaceae
Description: partial small subunit ribosomal RNA
Source: RNAcentral
AUGAAUGUCGGUACGAUCAUGGAGUCGAAUGAUGCAACUUUCUUUAAAGAUAUCUUUUCCAUGAAGGAUAUGGCUACCUCGUCUAAUCAGGAGAUGCCUAGUUCAUCGAAUCAGGAACCAGUUACAAUUACCGAACCUGCCAUUUUGAUGGAACACUUUGAAAGUCCUGUGGAGGAGAACAAUGAAGUUCCUAUUAGGAGCAAGAGACAGAGGACUGCAAAGUCCUUUGGUGAUGAUUUUCUUGUGUAUCUCAUAGAUGACACUCCCAGUUCUAUUUCAGAGGCCUAUGCAUCUGAAGAUGCUGACUACUGGAAGGAAGCAGUUCGUAGCGAGAUGGAUUCCAUCUUGGUGAAUGAAACUUGGGAGAUAACUGAUCGUCCUUAUGGGUGCAAACCUAUAGGAUGCAAAUGGGUAUUCAAGAAGAAGCUUAGGCCUGAUGGUACUAUCGAAAAGUACAAGGCUCGGCUCGUGGCUAAGGGUUAUACCCGAAAGGAAGGUGAAGACUUCUUUGAUACUUACUCACCUGUGGCUCGACUGACCAUUAUUCGAGUUCUACUUUCACUAGCUGCCUCACAUGGUCUUCUCGUUCAUCAAAUGGAUGUUAAGACUGCUUUCCUAAAUGGAGAGUUGGAUGAGGAAAUUUAUAUGGAACAACCAGAUGGGUUUGUAAUAGAUGGUCAGGAAGGGAAAGUGUGCAACUUGCUGAAGUCUUUGUAUGGACUCAAGCAAGCACCCAAACAGUGGCAUGAGAAGUUCGAAAGAACUUUAACAGCUGCAGGCUUUGUUGUGAACGAAGCUGACAAAUGUGUGUACUAUCGCCAUGGUGGGGGCGAGGGAGUUAUGCUUUGCUUGUAUGUUGAUGACAUACUGAUUUUCGGAACAAAUCUGGAUGUUAUUAAGGAGGUAAAGGAUUUCCUAUCUCGCUAUUUUGAGAAGAAGGAUUUAGGAGUAGCUGAUGUCAUUCUGAACAUCAAGUUGUUGAGAGAUGAUGAUGGUGGGAUUACAUUGCUUCAAUCCCACUAUGUGGAAAAGAUCUUGAGUCGCUUUGGCUACAGUGACUGCAAGCCAUCUCCAACACCAUAUGAUGCUAGUGUGUUGCUUCGAAAGAAUCGGAGAAUUGCUAGAGACCAAUUGAAAUAUUCUCAGAUCAUUGGCUCGCUUAUGUACUUAGCCAGUGCUACAAGACCUGACAUCUCUUUUGCUAUUAGCAAGCUGAGCCGGUUUGUCUCAAAACCAGGAGAUGUGCAUUGGAAAUCUCUAGAGAGAGUUUUGCGUUAUUUGAAAGGCACUGCAAAUUAUGGAAUUCACUACACCGGCCCAAAGGUGCUUGAAGGGUAUAGUGACUCAAACUGGAUCUCAGAUGUUGAUGAGAUAAAUGUCACGAGCGGAUAUGUAUUCACUCAUGGAGGUGGCGCUGUUUCUUGGAAGUCUUGCAAGCAGACCAUCUUAACGAGGUCAACAAUGGAAGCAGAACUCACAGCACUAGAUACAACUACGGUCGAAGCAGAUUGGCUUCGUCGGCUCUUGAAUGACUUGCCGGUAGUUGAGAAACCUGUACCGGGUAUCCUUAUGAACUGUGACAAUCAAACUGUGAUCACUAAAGUGAGCAGCUCAAAGGAUAACAUGAAGUCAUCAAGACACGUUCAGAGAAGGUUAAAGUCUGUCAAAAAAAUUAAAAACUCCGGAGUUAUUGUAUUGGAUUAUAUCCAAACGUCUAAAAAUCUGGCAGAUCCUUUUACUAAGGGUCUACCACGUAAUGUGAUAGAUAAUGCAUCAAGGGAGAUGGGUAUGAGACCCACAAUAUGA